UAGGGAAUCUUCCGCAAUGGACGAAAGUCUGACGGAGCAACGCCGCGUGAGUGAAGAAGGAUUUCGGUUCGUAAAACUCUGUUGUUAGGGAAGAAAAAAUGUAUAGUAACUAUAUACAAAAGAGACGGUACCUAACCAGAAAGCCACGGCUAACUACGUGCCAGCAGCCGCGGUAAUACGUAGGUGGCAAGCGUUGUCCGGAAUUAUUGGGCGUAAAGCGCGCGCAGGUGGUUUAGAAAGUCUGAUGUGAAAGCCCACGGCUCAACCGUGGAGGGUCAUUGGAAACUAAUAAACUUGAGUGCAGGAGAGAAAAGUGGAAUUCCUAGUGUAGCGGUGAAAUGCGUAGAGAAUAGGAGGAACACCUGUGGCGAAAGCGGCUUUUUGGCCUGCAACUAACACUGAGGCGCGAAAGCGUGGGGAGCAAACAGG
Molecule: ribosomal RNA, 429 nt
Filed under: Verrucomicrobiota bacterium
Lineage: Bacteria; Pseudomonadati; Verrucomicrobiota
Description: Verrucomicrobia bacterium partial 16S ribosomal RNA
Rfam family: Bacterial small subunit ribosomal RNA
Source: RNAcentral